UAUGGAAAAGCAAAUGUAGGCAUGAGUAACGAUAAUGCGGGAGAGUAACCCGCACACCGCAAGACCAAGGUUUCCUGAUCAACGCUAAUCGGAUCAGGGUUAGUCGGGUCCUAAGGGUAAGCCGAACGGUGAUCUCGAUGGACAAUCGGUUAAUAUUCCGAUACUAACAUAUACCUCGAUGGAGAGACGAAGGAACGUAAGUGACGCCGCCUGACGGAAUAGGUGGUUAAAGGGCGUAGGUAUAGGGACAGAUUAAGAGUUAGUCCUUGCUGAAACCCGACAGUACGGAGCGGCUACGGCCAAUCUGAUAGUUCACCCAAGUCGACUUCCGAGAAAAUCUUCUAAGUUAUAGUAUAUGUUACCCGUACCGUAAACCGACACAGGUGGUCGAGGAGAGUAUCCUAAGGUGCUCGAGUGAAUCACGGUUAAGGAACUAGGCAAAUUAACCCCGUAACUUCGGGAAAAGGGGUCCCUACGCGAGUAGGGCGCAGCGAAGAGGUCCAGGCGACUGUUUAUCAAAAACACAGGGCUCUGCAAAUUCGAAAGAAGACGUAUAGGGCCUGACACCUGCCCGGUGCUGGAAGGUUAAGAGGGGAUGUCAUCGCAAGAGAAGCAUUGAAUCGAAGCCCCAGUAAACGGCGGCCGUAACUAUAACGGUCCUAAGGUAGCGAAAUUCCUUGUCGGGUAAGUUCCGACCUGCACGAAUGGUGUAACGAUCUGGACACUGUCUCAACCGUGAGCUCGGUGAAAUUGUAGUCCCGGUGAUGAUGCCGGGUACCCGCAACGGGACGAAAAGACCCCGUGAACCUUUACUAUAGCUUAACGCUGAAUUUGGGUACACAAUGUGUAGGAUAGGCCGGAGACAUUGAAGCGGGUACGCCAGUAUUCGUGGAGUCAACGUUGAAAUACGGCCCUUUGUGUACUUGGAUUCUAACCCUUGAUAGGGGACACCGUUUGGUGGGUAGUUUGACUGGGGUGGUCGCCUCCAAAAGCGUAACGGAGGCUUCCCAAGGUACCCUCAGCACGAAUGGUAACCGUGCGCGGAGUGCAAUAGCAUAAGGGUGCUUGACUGUGAGACAUACAAGUCGACCAGGUACGAAAGUAGGGUAUAGUGAUCCGGUGGUUCUGCGUGGACUGGCCAUCGCUCAAAGGAUAAAAGGUACUCCGGGGAUAACAGGCUGAUCGCCGCCAAGAGCUCAUAUCGACGCGGCGGUUUGGCACCUCGAUGUCGGCUCGUCACAUCCUGGGGCUGGAGAAGGUCCCAAG
RNAcentral lists this ribosomal RNA (1266 nucleotides) under human gut metagenome. RNAcentral's name for it is "bacterial LSU rRNA". It matches the Rfam family "Bacterial large subunit ribosomal RNA", at positions 1281 to 2569 of the family's 2925-position model. The record is from RNAcentral.